This is a long non-coding RNA of Equus caballus (horse), 1737 nucleotides long. Lineage: Eukaryota; Metazoa; Chordata; Mammalia; Perissodactyla; Equidae. The record is from Ensembl.
GCAGCGCCUGCUGGGGGGAUGUUUCUUCCAAGGAGAACAUAGCCUGUCAGGAAAAUGGGUCAGGGAUGGAAAGGAACCUGCUAAUUGCCCCCCUCCUCGGCAGAAGCACUUGAGGGGGGGCGGGUGGCUGUGGCCAGGAGCGCGCACUCGGAACUCCGCUCUGCCUCUCCCUCCCCUCCCCCGCUGCCCUCCUCUCCUUUUGCACCAAUGCAGGAAAUGUUCCACUGACCUACAUAUUUUUCCAAACAUACGUGACCUUUUUUUUUUUUCCCCCUCUGUGGGAGGAGACAGGCGAGAAUCCAAGAAAAGGAGAAGCUGGAGCGGCGCGCGCGAGGAAACAGGGAGGCUUUCAUGAAGGCUCCCGUAAACCCCGAACAGAGACAGAUGCACAUAAAUAGUCUCGGGGAGCCAGGAGCUGCCGUUUGAUACUCUGCGACAGAGACGGCCUCCUUUGAUUGCUGUGGGCAGAGACAUGGAAAUUCCUCCAUCUUCUCAGAAGUGACGAGAUCAGAAGAGUCACUGAGGGUCCACUGCUGAGCUGCACAGAUGCUGAGCUUUCACCAGAAAGAAAUAAAGGGACCAAGUGUAGCCUGUAUUCAGCCCGAAGAAUCCUUGUGCACUGCUGUUAAGAAAUCUAGACCAUCAGAGGUUUGAGCGGGCGGCGUGGAAGCCUGGGCUUCCGGGCCCUGGGAACAGGCGUUCUUGGGUGAAUUGCAGCCCAGGCUCUGUUCUUGGUUCCAAGCACAGCAUCCCCCAGCUGGUCCCUGAGGUUGGGACGCUCGCUCUUGGGGCAGGACUUUGCCAUCAGAUGUCAAUUAUCUGCCAUCUGUUCUGAGCAGCCCACUGGAGAACUUUUCCACCCGGAACGGCUGUGGCCUUCUCCUGUCAUCGUUCCCCGGAUUUUCCUGGCAACCCUCUCACCCAGCCGCAUUUGUAGCUCCGUGGGGGAAGAACAGGGAAAUUUCGCACACUUUCCUUUGAAUAGAACUGAAACGUGGAAUAAUGCAAGAACCAAGAGGAGCAGAGCCGCGCUGUUCCCUCAGCAACCACUGGCUGUCAUGGCCACAUCCGCCUGAGAACACAGACCACCACAGACUCUCGGGGUCUCAGUAGGUGGUGGAGGCUGGGGUGUGCAUCUUCAUCGCCUGGCCUCUCACCCCAAUGAGCAUCUCUCUCUGACUGAUGGCCCUUUAAGCUAUUAUUAAGUAUCACACCUCGACUCUUAACCGAUGAGAGUUGAAGAGGUGGAUCAAAGCCAGUGGCAGUGUGCUGUAGCCAUAGAAAGAAAAUAAGAAAAGGCCAACUUUAAAGCAUGAAGUUUGACUACGAACCUGACACACGCCCCCACAACUGCCUGCACCGCCCACUCCCUAACAGUCAGACCUGGGGGAAGGUUACCACAACAGCUGCGAAAUGACAGUUCUCCAGCUCCUUUGUGUGUGGGGCCCGGGUGACCCACUAGGGCUUCUGGAAUAAAGAAGUGAUGCUUCCAGGGAGUGCGGGAACGAGAAGAGUGGCCCGCGUGGGCGUGGGAGCCGGGCUUGGGCUCUUGAGUUGAAUUUAUAUCCUCCAUCUGCAAUUAGCCCAUUGCCCCUUCUGAGAACAUGAAUAGUUCCCGCUGCUGUUAAUGGGAAUGCUGUUCUCACCCCAACGGGAGGAAAAACGCCCAGAAACAUGUUUAAUGGAUUUUUUUUUGGAUACUUAAAAACAUUGCAGUGAUUUUCUAGUUCCAAAAAG